CUCUUUCUCUUUUUCCUUUUUUUUUUCUUUUUCCUUUUUCUUUUCUUUUUCUUUUUCCUUUUUCUUUUCUUUUCUUUUCUUCUUCUUCUUCCUUCUUCUUUUCUUUUCUUCCCAUGGCUUAUUUUUGACCGAAACAGAGGAUCUUUGAUCCCCUCCUUGGUUGGCCGGCCGGCGGCGCAGCCGGUGCGGGGAUGGUCGGCGGCCAAAGGAGAGAUGAUCCGACGGCAAGAGGCGGCCAAACCGAUGGUCGGCGGUGACCACCG
Molecule: long non-coding RNA, 263 nt
Filed under: Elaeis guineensis (African oil palm)
Lineage: Eukaryota; Viridiplantae; Streptophyta; Magnoliopsida; Arecales; Arecaceae
Description: long non-coding RNA (EGUI_LNC005977)
Source: RNAcentral